GAUGAACGCUGGCGGCGUGCCCAAUACAUGCCAGUCGAGCGAACAGACGAGGAGCUUGCUCCUCUGACGUUAGCGGCGGACGGGUGAGUAACACGUGGAUAACCUACCUAUAAGACUGGGAUAACUUCGGGAAACCGGAGCUAAUACCGGAUAAUAUAUUGAACCGCAUGGUUCAAUAGUGAAAGACGGUUUUGCUGUCACUUAUAGAUGGAUCCGCGCCGCAUUAGCUAGUUGGUAAGGUAACGGCUUACCAAGGCAACGAUGCGUAGCCGACCUGAGAGGGUGAUCGGCCACACUGGAACUGAGACACGGUCCAGACUCCUACGGGAGGCAGCAGUAGGGAAUCUUCCGCAAUGGGCGAAAGCCUGGCGGAGCAACGCCGCGUGAGUGAUGAAGGUCGUCGGAUCGUAAAACUCUGUUAUUAGGGAAGAACAAAUGUGUAAGUAACUAUGCACGUCUUGACGGUACCUAAUCAGAAAGCCACGGCUAACUACGU
RNAcentral lists this ribosomal RNA (496 nucleotides) under uncultured bacterium. Its description in RNAcentral is "partial 16S ribosomal RNA". It matches the Rfam family "Bacterial small subunit ribosomal RNA", at positions 28 to 506 of the family's 1533-position model. The record is from RNAcentral.